Molecule: long non-coding RNA, 813 nt
Organism: Dreissena polymorpha
Lineage: Eukaryota; Metazoa; Mollusca; Bivalvia; Myida; Dreissenidae
Exons: 4
Source: RefSeq, a predicted model, not a curated record
CAAUAUAACAUAUUUUUCAGUGGCCAUUGUUAAGUGCCAAGCGGAAUCCUAGCAACCAAGCCACGUCAGCACAGCAGCAAAAACAGUUUCAGCAGCAGUCGUAUACUAAACAUCAACAACAGUGGUGCAUAUGCAUUAAACUACGAGAGUAAACAAGUUGACUGCGUAAUGUGGCAUCAAAGUCUGCAAGGAGAAACCAUGCAAUUGAGGAAGCCAAGAAACCAUGUGAUAAUUUCAAGCAGCUUACCUACUCUUGAAACCCGGAUAGCAAAGCAUUGAGUUUGUUCUGGAAGCAUUUGUAGUCACAGCUCAUUAAGCAUCCCCCUGAAGCAGGACCCUCAGUCUAGGGACGCCAAUUGACGAAAUAAAACUUGUCAUUCAGCAACACAGCCAGUUGCAGCAGUUGUUACCAUAUUGACCCCAGUCAAAACUAGGAGCUCAGAGAUAACACAGCCAGUUGCAGCAGUUGUUACCGUAUGGACCCCAGUCAAAACAAGGAGCUCAGAGAUAAAUACUGUUUAAGAUAGAUAUUCUCUACAUUCCUCAUGGUCAGGCAACACAGCCAGUUGCAGCAGUUGUUACCAUCUUGACCCCAGUCAAAACUAAGAGCUUAGAGACAAUCAGCAACACAGCCAGUUGCAGCAGUUGUUACCAUAUUGACCCCAGUCAAAACUAGGAGCUCAGAGACAAUCAGCAACACAGCCAGUUGCAGCAGUUGUUACCGUAUUGACCCCAGUCAAAACUAGGAGCUCAGAGACAAUCAGCAACACAGCCAGUUGCAGCAGUUGUUACCGUAUUGACCCCCGUUAAAAC